GGGCCUGUAGCUUAGUUGGUAGAGCGCCGCAUUUGCAUUGCGGAGGUCACGGGUUCGAAUCCCGUCGGGUCCACCA
RNAcentral lists this transfer RNA (76 nucleotides) under candidate division WWE3 bacterium. Its description in RNAcentral is "tRNA-Ala". It matches the Rfam family "tRNA". From Rfam's summary of the family: Transfer RNA (tRNA) molecules are approximately 80 nucleotides in length. The record is from RNAcentral. Lineage: Bacteria; candidate division WWE3.